UGCCUACGGGACGCAGCAGUGGGGAAUAUUGCACAAUGGGGGAAACCCUGAUGCAGCGACGCCGCGUGGAGGAAGAAGGUCUUCGGAUUGUAAACUCCUGUCCUUGGGGACGAUAAUGACGGUACCCAAGGAGGAAGCACCGGCUAACUCCGUGCCAGCAGCCGCGGUAAUACGGAGGGUGCAAGCGUUACUCGGAAUCACUGGGCGUAAAGAGCGCGUAGGCGGGAUAGCAAGUCAGAUGUGAAAUCCUAUGGCUUAACCAUAGAACUGCAUUUGAAACUGUUAUUCUAGAGUAUGGGAGAGGG
This 305-nucleotide ribosomal RNA is filed under the name uncultured bacterium. RNAcentral's name for it is "bacterial SSU rRNA". It matches the Rfam family "Bacterial small subunit ribosomal RNA", at positions 335 to 658 of the family's 1533-position model. The record is from RNAcentral.